UACGAAGGGGGCGAGCGUUGUUCGGAUUUACUGGGCGUAAAGGGCGCGCAGGCGGCUCAUCAAGUCAGGCGUGAAAGCCCCGGGCUUAACCUGGGAGGUGCGUCUGGGACUGGUGGGCUAGAGAUCGGGAGAGGAGAGUGGAAUUCCCAGUGUAGAGGUGAAAUGCGUAGAUAUCAGGAGGAACACCGGUGGUGUAAACGGCUUUCUGGACCAUAACUGACGCUGAGGCACGAAAGCGUGGGUAGCAAACAGG
This 253-nucleotide ribosomal RNA is filed under the name uncultured bacterium. RNAcentral describes it as "partial 16S ribosomal RNA". It matches the Rfam family "Bacterial small subunit ribosomal RNA", at positions 524 to 776 of the family's 1533-position model. The record is from RNAcentral.